RNAcentral lists this ribosomal RNA (403 nucleotides) under uncultured bacterium. RNAcentral's name for it is "partial 16S ribosomal RNA". It matches the Rfam family "Bacterial small subunit ribosomal RNA", at positions 28 to 526 of the family's 1533-position model. The record is from RNAcentral.
GACGAACGCUGGCGGCGUGCCUAAUACAUGCAAGUCGAACGCAGUGGGGACGGGUGGGUAACCCGUGGGUAACCUCCCAUCAGAGGGGAUACCACUUGGAAACAGGUGCUAAACCCAUACUGAUGGAUGGACCCUGGGUGCAUUAGCUAGUUGGGGAGGUAACGGCUCACCAAGGCCACGAUGCAUAGCCGACCUGAGAGUGUGAUGGGCCACACUGGGACUGAGACACGGCCCAGACUCCUACGUGAGGCAGCAGUAGGGAAGAUUCGGCAAUGGACGAAAGCCUGACCGAGCAACGCCGCGUGAGUGAAGAAGGUUUUCGGAUCGUAAAACUCUGUUGGUAGAGAAGCGGUAUCUAACCAGAAAGCCACGGCUAACUACGUGCCAGCAGCCGCGGUAAUAC